ACUUUUGAAGAGGAACGAUUAAUUUGGGAAUGAGCGAAGAUGUCUGCGUUUGAGUUACUGAAGAAGAAGGUGUUCGCGCAUAUGUUUAAGAUGUUUAUUUGGGAACUUUUGCGUUUUGAGUUUCUACUUUGUUAGGGUUACAUAAUUUGGGAACUUUUGAGUUUCUUACUAUUUUUUAGUUUUUGCGUUUGUAUUGAGAUGUUGAUUUUACUGUGC
Molecule: long non-coding RNA, 216 nt
Filed under: Trifolium pratense (red clover)
Lineage: Eukaryota; Viridiplantae; Streptophyta; Magnoliopsida; Fabales; Fabaceae
Description: long non-coding RNA (TPRA_LNC011621)
Source: RNAcentral